This 355-nucleotide ribosomal RNA is filed under the name Amborella trichopoda. RNAcentral describes it as "rRNA SSU_rRNA_eukarya". It matches the Rfam family "Eukaryotic small subunit ribosomal RNA", at positions 57 to 286 of the family's 1831-position model. Lineage: Eukaryota; Viridiplantae; Streptophyta; Magnoliopsida; Amborellales; Amborellaceae. The record is from RNAcentral.
GUGUAAGUAUGAACUAAUUCUGACUGUGAAAUUGCGAAUGGCUCAUUAAAUCAGUUAUAGUUUGUUUGAUGGUACCUGCUACUUGGAUAACAGUGGUAAUUCUAGAGCUAAUACGUGCAAGAAAUCCCGACCUCUAGAAGGGAUGCAUUUAUUAGAUAAAAGGCUAGUCAUAUUCAUAAGGCCCACAUUAGAGGUUGUUAUUCGCAGGGAAAUAUUAUAGGAUUUGGUGUGCACUUGCGCCGCUGGUAGCGGCACGAUGCACAUGUCGGGUUUUGGUUCAAGAACGAUGUGAUCCCGCGGUCCCUAUGGAUUAAUCUCUAAGUUAAUAUUGGUCACCAUAGACUCAGAUUAUGAG